RNAcentral lists this ribosomal RNA (880 nucleotides) under uncultured bacterium. Its description in RNAcentral is "bacterial SSU rRNA". It matches the Rfam family "Bacterial small subunit ribosomal RNA", at positions 115 to 1005 of the family's 1533-position model. The record is from RNAcentral.
ACGUGAGCAACCUGCCCAUCACUCUGGGAUAAGCACUGGAAACGGUGUCUAAUACUGGAUACGAAACAUCACCGCAUGGUGAGUGUUUGGAAAGAUUUAUCGGUGGUGGAUGGGCUCGCGGCCUAUCAGCUUGAUGGUGAGGUAAUGGCUCACCAUGGCGACGACGGGUAGCCGGCCUGAGAGGGUGACCGGCCACACUGGGACUGAGACACGGCCCAGACUCCUACGGGAGGCAGCAGUGGGGAAUAUUGCACAAUGGGCGCAAGCCUGAUGCAGCAACGCCGCGUGAGGGAUGACGGCCUUCGGGUUGUAAACCUCUUUUAGUAGGGAAGAAGCGUAAGUGACGGUACCUGCAGAAAAAGCACCGGCUAACUACGUGCCAGCAGCCGCGGUAAUACGUAGGGUGCAAGCGUUGUCCGGAAUUAUUGGGCGUAAAGAGCUCGUAGGCGGCUUGUCGCGUCUGCUGUGAAAACCCGAGGCUCAACCUCGGGCUUGCAGUGGGUACGGGCAGGCUAGAGUGCGGUAGGGGAGAUUGGAAUUCCUGGUGUAGCGGUGGAAUGCGCAGAUAUCAGGAGGAACACCGAUGGCGAAGGCAGAUCUCUGGGCCGCUACUGACGCUGAGGAGCGAAAGCAUGGGGAGCGAACAGGAUUAGAUACCCUGGUAGUCCAUGCCGUAAACGUUGGGAACUAGAUGUAGGGCCUGUUCCACGGGUUCUGUGUCGUAGCUAACGCAUUAAGUUCCCCGCCUGGGGAGUACGGCCGCAAGGCUAAAACUCAAAGGAAUUGACGGGGGCCCGCACAAGCGGCGGAGCAUGCGGAUUAAUUCGAUGCAACGCGAAGAACCUUACCAAGGCUUGACAUAUACGAGAACACUGCAGAA